UACGGGGGGGGCAAGCGUUGUUCGGAAUUACUGGGCGUAAAGGGUUUGUAGGUGGCUUGCUAAGUCAGACGUGAAAUCCCUCAGCUUAACUGGGGAACUGCGUCUGAGACUGGCAAGCUCGAGUGCAGGAGAGGAACGCGGAAUUCCAGGUGUAGCGGUGAAAUGCGUAGAUAUCGGGAGGAAUACCUAUGGCGAAAGCAGGCUACUGGACCGUCACUGACGCUGAUCUGCGAAAGCUAGGGGAGCAAACAGG
RNAcentral lists this ribosomal RNA (253 nucleotides) under uncultured bacterium. Its description in RNAcentral is "partial 16S ribosomal RNA". It matches the Rfam family "Bacterial small subunit ribosomal RNA", at positions 524 to 776 of the family's 1533-position model. The record is from RNAcentral.